Molecule: ribosomal RNA, 529 nt
Filed under: uncultured bacterium
Lineage: Bacteria
Description: partial 16S ribosomal RNA
Rfam family: Bacterial small subunit ribosomal RNA
Source: RNAcentral
GACGAACGCUGGCGGCGUGCCUAAUACAUGCAAGUCGAGCGAGCAAUUUUAGCAGAAUACCUUCGGGUAGGAAGCUAAGAGCGCGAGCGGCGGAUGGGUGAGUAACACGUGGGCAACCUACCCUUUAGCUGGGGAUACCACUUGGAAACAGGUGCUAAUACCGAAUAAGAAGCAAGAGCGCAUGCUCAAGCUAUGAAAGGCGGCUUUAAGCUGUCACUAAAGGAUGGGCCCGCGGUGCAUUAGCUAGUUGGUAAGGUAACGGCUUACCAAGGCGAUGAUGCAUAGCCGAGUUGAGAGACUGAACGGCCACAUUGGGACUGAGACACGGCCCAAACUCCUACGGGAGGCAGCAGUAGGGAAUCUUCCACAAUGGACGCAAGUCUGAUGGAGCAACGCCGCGUGAGUGAAGAAGGUUUUCGGAUCGUAAAGCUCUGUUGUUGGUGAAGAAGGAUAAGGAUAGUAACUGAUUCGUAUUUGACGGUAAUCAACCAGAAAGUCACGGCUAACUACGUGCCAGCCGCCGCAGUAA